This 28986-nucleotide long non-coding RNA is filed under the name Homo sapiens (human). Its description in RNAcentral is "non-protein coding STX18-AS1:13". Lineage: Eukaryota; Metazoa; Chordata; Mammalia; Primates; Hominidae. The record is from RNAcentral.
CCGGCCUCAGCCGGCGCACCUGGCGGAGGAGGAACCUCGCGACGCGCUCUCGGGCAUCGGUUUCUCCCAGCAAAGCUUGGAGGGUUUAGCUGCGCGGAGAGCUCAGCGAGCUCUUCUGUGUCUGUUUGGGGCGUGUGGGCUCCGGGAGCGUGAGGACCGGGAAGCUAGGAGGCUCCUUCCCUUCUGGCGGCUCCCUCACUGAGACCGGGCGGUUUGGUUGCGGGGGAAGUGGAGACGAGCCACCCUUGACCUUUGACUGCAAGAACUCACCUUGAGCAGGAUAGAGGCACGUGGACGGUGACCCUCGGGAUGCAAUAAAUGCUGAGACAGAUCAGGUGUGCAAGGCACAGAGCUAGAGGCCAGAGGCCUUUCUUCUCCAACCUUCAGUCACCUCUUUUUAAAGUGAAGCCAGCAUCCUCCUCGGGGUUUACUGUGAAAAUUAAGUGAGCUGACGCGUGCUGUGUUUUGAUGUUGCUUGGCUCCUACAAACAUUGAGUGGGCCAGACACUGUUCUGAAAAAUACGCAGUCGACUUUUGAACAGCACAGGCUUGAACUGCAUGCGGCCACUAAUACUCGGACUUCCUUCUGCCUCUGCCAUCCCUAAGACAGCAAGACCCACCCCUCCUGCUCCUCAGCCUACUCGAUGUGAUGAUGGUUCCUGCUUCCCCUUUGCCUUCUGCCAUGAUUAUAAGUUUCCUGAGGCCUCCUCAGCCAUGCAGAACUGUGAGUCAAUUAAGCCUCUUUCCUUUAUAAAUUACCCAGUCUCGGGUAGUAUUUUUAUAGCAGUGUGAAAAUGGACUCAUACACAGAGAGUACCUAAAGGAGGGGCUGCCACCACCUCAUUCCUACCUGAUUCUUGUUCUAGAUCCUGAGCCCGUUGCUCUAGCCUACUGGCUUGUUUCAUCCUACUUUGUGUCUCCUCCCACCCUGUAAUGAGCCAAAUGUUGGCCCCCCAAAAGAUAUGUCCACAUCCUGAUCCCUAGAACCCAUGAAUCUGACCUUACUAGGAAAAGAAGUCUUUCCAGAUAGAGUUAAAUUAAAGACCUUGAAAUGAAGAAAUGAUUUUGGAUUAUCCUGGUGACCCCUAAAUCCAAUAGCAAAUAUCUUUAAAAGAGGCACACAGAAUGGAAGGCCAUGUGAAGACAGAGGCAGAUACUGGAGAGAUACAGCCACAGGCCCAUGAAUGCUGAUGGCCACCAGAAACCAGAGGAAGCAAGGAAGUAUUCUCCCCUAGAGUCUCUGAAGGGAGCGUGGCCCUGCCAGCAUCUUGAUUUUGGACUUUUGUCCUCCAGGACUGUAAGAAACAAAUUUCUGUUAAAUCACAAAGCUUGUGGUCAUUUGUUACUGCAACCAUAGGAAAUUAACGUGUACCCUAACUCUUUUCCCUGCCCAUCCUUCCUCCAUUACCUAUCCUCUACUUCCUGGGUGUGGCCCUCAGCCCCUGUUUGGGUUCUCAGCUCUGCAGGUAAGCCGCCUUCAGCUUCACUGGGUCUGUACCUUUCUUGUGGUUGAUAAGUCCUGCGGCUGCCUAGCCUGGUGCUCUUCUUUCCUUCCCCAUCUCUUCUUUGAUCUCCCCUUGGAGAGUCACAACUGACCAGGCCCCCUGUCCCACAAGGAAAACUAGAGGCCAGAAUGAACUGGAUCUAGCCAAAAAGCACACCAAAGUGGGCUCUUUUCAUCAAAUGUGCAGCAGAAAGGGUGUCCAUGCAACAGAUAUUUCACUCUCCCUGUGUGACUCAGAGAAGGCAGACAUACUCAACUCUUGUUUCCAACUUCUCUAUUUAGGAGCUAUUCGAAUGCAAAAGAUAGGAGAGAGCUUGUGUGACAGUUCUGGCAGUGGCUGUGGCAUCUGGAGUGUCUGCACCCAAAGAGUUGCCCUUCUCAGUCUAGAAAGACCAUUCUGCCAGACGCGGUGGCUCACGCCUGUAAUCCCAGCACUUUGGGAGGCCAAGGCGGGUGGAUCACCAGAGGUCAGGCAUUCAAGACCAGUCUGGCCAACAUCGCGAGAUCCCGUCUCUACUAAAAAUACAAAAAUUAGCGGGCAGGCAUGGUGAUGCACGCCUGUAGUCCCAGCUACUCAGGAGGCUGAGCCAUGUCACUUGAACCUGGGAAGCAGAGGUUGCAGUUGAGCCGAGAUCAUGCUACUGCACUCCAUCCUGGGUGACACGCAAGACUCUGUCUCAAAAAUGAAUAAAAGAAAGCCCAUUCUAUUAUGAGCAGUUCAAGUAAGUGCAGAGAGAGGAAGGGGACAGUUGCCCACAUAGCCAAGUCAGUCCCAGGGAUAGUGAACAAUAAGUUGCCUCCAGAACUUCAAGAUUAGGAGCCACUGGAUAAUGAGAGUCAGCACAGGGACAAAACAGAUGUCAAGGAUUCUUCUUUUGUCAUCCUGAGUCCAUGUGACUAAAUUUCAAGAGGGCAGGUUAGAAAAAGCAAAGUUGAUGGGGCAUUACCUGUGGUUUGAACUUCUACCUGUCAUAUUUCAGGAAAUCACCAUGAGGAGCUUGACUUAGGAAAUUAAGGAAGACGUGUCCUUUUGUUGAUUUUCACAUGGGAAGACAAGGGUGUGUGUGUGUGUGUGUGUGUGUGUGUGUGUGUGUGUGGUGAGACACAAGGGUUGAAAACUAACUGGUUCUCAGUUUGUGGUGUUUCCUGCCAUCAGCAAUGGCCUUGGGGAUGACUCCCACUCCUCCCUUCUAGCCCCCAAGAAGACUACAAUUGUCUCUUGCUCCAAGUUAGUCUUCAGGAAUACAAAGCCCAGCAAGUGCAGGGGGGCUCAGUGUGAUGUGCACACAGUGUGGCACAGCCCAAGAGUCCGGCUUUGGAGGCAGUGAUCUCUCAGAACUAAGACCACCCUGAAUUAAGACCACCCUGUCAGCAUCCCCUUACUCUGACCAUGCAGCAUGGUCUUUGGGCUCCACAAAUAUCCUUGAAGCCAAGAGUCACAAUUUGGGUGGGAAUCGCAAGCCCAGCCAGCAGGCAAAGAUGGAGGCCAGAGGGCAGCUGAGCAUCCAUUGUCACUGGUGUCCACUCCCAGAGCUACUUGGAGGUGGGCACUAGCGAACAAAAGCCCUCAGAAGAGAGAAGGGGACACCACUGCCCUGGUAGCCCCCAUCCUGUCUUUGGCCUGUAGGCCUCUGCACACUGUAAGCCUAGACCAGCCUCAACUAUAUCACACAUUGACUUUUUUCCUCUCUGGACAAUGGUAGCCUGGAGUAUUGUAAUACCCAUGGAAUUUUUAUAGGGUACCUAAGGGAUAUUUAUCAGAUCUCUGAGUUCUUUCCAGAAGUCCAGGAAGUAGUUAACAGAGGAUGACUAAUAGGAAACAAAAACACAACACCACUACAACCUGAGAUUCAGAAAUGGAAAGACUUGGGUUUGAAUUCAGCUACCCUACUCACUAGCUGUGUGACUCUGGGCAAGUUACUUCACCUCUCUGAGCCUCUGUCUGAAAAAUGCAGACAAACCCUAUUAACCGCUCCUGAUUUCUGUGAGUAGGGAUUUCUUUUUCACACCUCUCCAAUGGAAGCAGCCUUAGUCAUCUGGUUUUGGGGCAACAUCGGCCAGUCUGCAUUUUUCAGUUGGUUGAAGCGAUCUACCAGUUGGGGACGUUUGCUCUUUUGCCUUCACCCUUUAACCUGAGCCAGUGGGACGCAGUGACCUGGCUGAGGACUGUGUUCUGCAGACUCAUACAUUACCUCAGAGGGAAGCUAAAAACCAGAACGCUGCCAGAACUGUCUCUUUCUUCCUCUCUCUUCCUCAUCGUCAUUAUCAUCUCCUCAAGUCAGUUUUCUCUGCUUCUCUGUUCCUACGGCUGAACACCAGCCCCACUCAAAUCCUACAUUUAUUAAUAUAUGAGAUACCCGUUGAUAUGGUUUGGCUGUGUCCUCAUUCAGAUCUCAACUUCAAUUGUAUCUCCCAGAAUUCCCACAUGUUGUGGGAUGGACCUAGGAGGAGGUAAUUGAAUCAUAGGGGCUGGUCUUUCCUGUGCUAUUCUCAUGAUAGUGAAUAAGUCUCAUGAGAUCUAAUGGGUUUAUCAGGGGUUUCCACUUUUGCUUCUUCCUCAUUUUCUCUUGCUGCUGCCAUGUAAGAAGUCCUUUUCACCUCCCGCCAUGAUUCUGAGGCCUCCCCAGCCAUGUGGAACUGUAAGUCCAAUUAAACCUCUUUUUCUUCCCAGUCUUGGGUAUGUCUUUAUCAACAGCAUGAAAACAGACUAAUACAGUAAAUUGGGAUCAGUAGAGUGGGGCAUUGCUGAAAAGAUACCCGAAAAUUUGGAAGUGACUUUGGAACUGGGUAACAGGCAGAGAUUGGAACAGUUUGAAGGGCUCAGAAGAAGACAGGAAAAUUUGGGUAAGUUUGGAACUCCCUAGAGAUUUGUUGAAUGGCUUUGCCCAAAAUGCUGAUAGUGAUAUGGACAAUAAAAUCCAGGCUGAGGUGGCCUCAGAUGGAGAUGAGAAACUCAUUGGGAAUUUAAGCAAAGUUGAUUCUUGCUAUGUCUUAGCAAAGAGACUGGUGGUAUUUUGUCACUGCCCUGAAGAUUUGUGGAACUUUGGACUUGAGAGAGAUGAUUUAGGUAUCUGGUGGAAGAAAUUUCUAAGCAGCAAAGCAUUCAAGAUGUGACUUGGGUGCUGUUAAAGGCAUUCAGUUUUAUAAGGGAAGCAGAGCAUAAAACUUUAGAAAAUUUGCAGCCUGACUAUGCAAUAGAAAAGAAAACCCAUUUUCUGGGGAGAAAUUCAAGCUGGCUGCAGAAAUUUGCAUAAGUAGUGAGAAGCCUAAUGUUAAUCCCCAAGACCAUGGGGAAAAUGUCUCCAGGCCAUGUCAGAGACCUUCAUGGCAGCCCCUCCCAUCACAGGCCUAGAGGCCCAAGAGGAAAAAGUGGUUUUGUGGGCUGGACCCAGGAUCCCCAUGCUUUGUGCAGCUUAAGGGCUUGGUAGCCUGCACCCCAGCCUCUCCAGCCAUGGCUGAAAGGGACCAACAUAUAGCUCAGGCUGUGGCUUCAGAGGGUCAAAGCCCCAAGCCUUGGCAGCUUCCACGUGGUGUUGAGCCUGCGGGUGCACAGAAGUCAAGAACUGAGGUUUGGGAACCUCCACCUAGAUUUCAGAAGAUGUAUGGAAAUUUCUGAAUGCCCAGGCAAAAGUUUUCUGCAGGAUGGCAGCCCUCAUGGAGAACCUCUGCUAUGGCAGUGCAGAAGGGAAAUGUGGAGUUGGCGUCCCCACACAGAGUCCCUAUUGGGGCACUGCCUAGUGGAGCUGUGAGAAUAGGGCCACUGUUCUCCAGCUCCCAGAAUGAUUGAUCCACCAACAGCUUGCACCAGGCACCUGGAAAAGCCACAGACACUCAAUGCCAGCGAAGAGAAAGCAGCUGCAAAGCCACAGGGGCAGAGCUGCCUAAGACUGUGGGAACCCACCUCUUGCAUUGGUGUGACCUGGAUGUGAGACCUGGAGUCAAAGGACAUCAUUUUAGAGCUUUAAAAUUUGACUGUCCGCUGGAUUUCCGAUUUGUAUGGGCCCUGUAACCCCUUUGUUUUGGCCAAUUUCUCCCAUUUGGAAUGGCUGUAUUUACCAAAUACUUGUAUCCCCAUUGUAUUCAGGAAGUAACUAGCUUGUUUUUGAUUUUACAGGCUCAUAGGUGGAAGGGACUUGCCUUGUCUUAGAUGAGACUUUGGACUGUGGACUUUUGUGUUAAUGCUGAAAUGAGUUAAGGCUUUGAGGAACUGUUGGGAAGGCAUGAUUGGUUUUGAAAUGUGAGAACAUGAGAUUUGGAGGGGCCAGGGACAGAAUGAUGUGGUUUGGCUAUGUCCCCAUUCAAAUCUCAACUUGUAUCUCCCAAAAUUCCCACGUGUUGUGUGAGGGACCUAAGAGGACGUGAUUGAAUCAUGGAGCCGGUCUUUCCCAUGCUAUUCUCAUGAUAGUGAAUAAGUCUCACGAGAUCUGAUGGGUUUAUCAGGGGUUUCCACUUUUGCUUCUUCCUCAUUUUCUCUUGCUGCCACCAUGUAAGAAGUGCCUUUUGCCUCCCGCCAUGAUUCUGAGGCCUCCCCAACCAUGUGGAACUGUAAGUCCAAUUAAACCUCUUUCUCUUCCUAGUCUCGGGUAUUUCUUUAUCAGCAGCAUGAAAAUGCACUAAUACACCCCCAGUCACAGAAAGGGUCUAACUUGAUGUAUCAGUCCCAAGUCCCAAGCUGGCCCAGUUUCAGACAGACCUUCCCCUGGUCCAGUCAGCUAGGCUUUAGCAUCUGAGUCAUAUGGGACCAACGUGACUGUCAGGAUACAUACACUCUCUGGCUGGGGAUUUGUGGGGAGGGGAUAUGUUAAUAUUCUAUUGCUGCUAUAACAAAUGAUCACAUUUUGGCUUAACCAAUUUGAAUUUGUUAUCCUACAGUUAUAGAGGUCAACAGUCUAAUGUGGGUUUCACUGGGCUAAAAUCAAGGAGCUGGCACGGCUGUGUUCCAUUCUGGAGACUCUGGGGGAGAAUCCAUUUAUUUGCCUUCCCCAGCUCCUAGAUGCUGCCCACGUUCUUUGGUUCACGGCCCCACCCUCUUUCUCUGAAGCCAGGUAUGAUGGGUGGAGAUCUUCUCACAUCGCAUCACUCUGACACUGACUGUCCUGCCUCCCUCUUCCACAUUUAAGGACCCCUGUCAUGACAUUGGGCCCACCCAGAUAGUCCAAGAUAAGCCCCCUAUCUGAAGGCUAGCUGAUCAACAUCACAAAUUCCAUCUGCAACCUCAGUGCCCCUUGCCAAGUGACAUACAUAUUCACACAUUCAGCAAUUAGGACUUGGACAUUUUUGGGGGGCUGUUAUUCAGUCUACCACAAUGAGGUAGCUCCAGUAAAAAGAUGGGGUGAUUAUGAGCUGGGCAGACACCCCUUUUGUGUCUUCCUGGAAGACAGAGAGAUCCACCUACUCUUUUCCAUUUCUCAAACAAUGUUUGUAGGCCUGCUCUGGUAAUACUCCAGGGGUCUACAGAAAUUAAGAAAACAGAACCUUUUCCCUUUGAGGAUUUAACCUAGUAGGAGACACACCAAUAUCCAAACACAAAGCAAUGUUCUUCUGAAAUCUUCUAGUCCUUUCUACCUCUUUUAAGGUACUUAUCCCACUCUGCUCACCCCAUUUUAGAGGCGUCAACUCACAACAAUGUGAUCAACAGUCACCAAAGUUCAAGUCCUCUCUCUCCCCUCCUUCUCCUGGCCUCCAGGUUGAGAAGUUUGGUGCAACUUCUUCCCAGGGCUGACUUCGUCCACCCCAGGAGUUUCAUAGAGCACCUCAUAAAAACCCAUUUACUGGUUUCCCCAACAUAAUGGCAGAAAUAAACUACUUGAUACACACUUGGAAAUCCCUUCCAGAGAACAUGUGCAUUGUUUUGUUGGCAUGGCAUCUUGGUUUCUAACUUGAAUUUCCACCGCCUUUGCUUUUUUGACAGUAUCUUCCAUGAUUAAGAUGGCCGAAUCCUCCACUUUUUAUUGAGUUGGACAGCAAAUCACAGAAUAAAUGCUUUCCCUUGCACUUUAAAAGGAUUUAAUAGGAAAAUAUUUUUCCUACAUCCUGUUUCAAGGGGAAAAUGUGAUUUUAAGGGGCAUUUUAUAGUUCACAACAGGAUAUUGAAGGGCAUUUGGUUUUGCUUAGUUUAUUAUGACUGUGUUUCUCCAGCAUGAAGUAGUGUUUUUUGUGAUUAUUUAGAUAAGUGUGAUUAUGGUAGAUAGGCAGCUAUCGAAUUAUGGAAAUUUAGGACUGGAAAGGGCCUUAAAUAUCAUCCAGGCCAAACUUCCUCAUUUUUCAGAUGAGAAAACAAAUGACUUGUCCAAGUUCACAUGUUGAGUUGCAGGGGAAAAUGAGAUUAGAAUCUUUAUCUUCCAACUGUUUAAUGUCCCCCAAACAGUUUUGUGAUGAGAGUAGGAGUAAGGAGAGUAGCAUUUAUUCAAGGAGAUCCCUAUGUAUCUGUAAGCAGUUCUGAAUAUGAGAAUUGGAGUAACUGAUAUGUGUGGAUUUGUGUGUAUUUCAUUCAUUCAUUCAUCCAUUAAGCUAGCCAGUCAGUGAGUCAUAUUCUAAACAUAUUCCCAGUGUCUACUCAGUAGGUGGCACGUGCUAGGUGCUGAAAAUAUAAAAACAAAGCUGAAGUCCCCGCCUUGGAGCAAGUCAAGGAGUAAUGGACAGACAAGUGUGUACAGACAUAAUUAUAAUUAAACAUAAAUGUGAUAAUGGAGUUUGUUGUUUUUUCAUGGCAGCUUCAAACCAUGAAAUUAAAAAGCUACUCUGCAGGGACAGGAAAUGAUCAGCACUCCAGAAAUAGAGUUGGAGAGAUGCUUUCCUUAUGGUCCAUUUCUGGCCAUUUCAUUAUCUCUGUCUUGAUGGGACUCUAUGGAGCAGGAACCACCUCUUAGCCUGGCAUUGUGGCAAGAGCCUCAGUUCUCUGUCAGACAAGCUUGGGUUCAAAUCCCAGUCACUUAUUAAUAAUGAGUUCUUUCAAGGUUAUUUCCUCAUCUAUGAAUAAAAGAUAAAAACGCAUCCAUCAGGUUGUUGUACAUGUAUAUUAGUCUGUUCUCAUGCUGCUGAUAAAGAUAUACCCAAGGCUGUGUAAUGUAUAAAGGAAAAAAAAAGAGCUUUAAUGGACUCACAGUUCCACGUGGCUGGGAAGGCCUCACAAUCAUGGCAGGAGGUGAAAGGCACAUCUUACAUGGUGACAGACAAGGAGAGAAUGAGAGCUAAGCGAAAGGGGUUUCCACUUAUAAAACCAUCAGAUCUCAUGAGACUAAUUCACUACCAUGAGAACAGUAUGGGGGAAACCGCCCCCAUGAUUCAACUAUCUCCCACCAGUCCCUCCCACAACUCGUGGGAAUUAUGGGAGCUGCAAUUCAAGAUGAGAUUUGGGUGGGGACACAGCCAAACCAUGUCAAUGUGUUAAAUGAGAUGAUCCAUAUAAAGUGUGUAGCACAGCAUCUGGUGUAGUUAGUCAUAAAAAAACCCAGCCAUCAUGGCAAUGGGGAUGUUGAGGAUGAAACCAGACAGAAGAAACUUCAGACUGGCAAUGCCAAGGUAGCUGGAGGUGGUGAGAAGUCUUCUUUAGAUUUUGGAAGGAAGCUUGGUUCCUUUCAGUCCUCUAUAUCACCCAACGAAUGUGUGUUGUUCAAGAGCGAAGACUGAGACGGUACCUUGGACAAGUGUUUGGAAUUAAAGGAAGCACUUAGAAAGUAAUUGGCCACAUGGUUUGGGUAAAUCUCAGAGAAUGUUUCUAGGAUUUGGAAUAUUUAUUCUGGAGAAGAGAAGAUUUAGGGGUUGGAUGAAAUGAAAGUCCUCAAGCACAUGAACCAGUGGUGGAGAGCAGCUGUUCCCUAUUUCUGUUUUGGACUGAAUGAGAGGAAACGAGCUUACAUUGAAGCAUGAGGGAUUUAGGCUAAACAUGAAGAAGAAUUUCCUGGAUGUGGGUGUUGUUGGACUUUGGAAUGAGUUACCAAGGUGUCUACAAUAAGGACAGUGUCUCUCUGGCUGCAGAUCUUGAAGUGUGGAAGCAUUGGCUCCAUGCAGGAAUGUCUACACUCACACGCUCUUUCCAAGUGGGAGAGUCUGUGACAUUAACGGGAUCUUCUAACGUGAGGAUAUGAGUCUCAGUCAACCCCAAACCACUGUCCAAAACCUUGAUCUAGCAUAAGAAAUGGUUGUGGUAGGAGCUGGAUGACUAUCUCUGGCAAUCUGCAGUUUGACAUUCCACAAAUACCAUGAUUGCUUAUGUAGGCUACUCCAGCGACCAAACACCUCCCCUCUUUGAAAUGUAUUAAGAAAUUCUCUGCAGGGCUUCUUUCACCAAAAGUGCAUUUAAUAGAGCUUGGAAUUUCCUCACAAUGCAUUUAUUUUUGUUGAUAUAUUUUUAGGUCUCCAUUAUUACUUGUCUGCACCUUCCUUUGCUUUGUAGGCAUAAGCUAUCAAUAACCGGGCAUUGACCACACUGUGGGGGUUCUCCCCUUCCCUCCCAUGGAAGCUAAGUCUUUAGCUGUUAAUUUCAGAAGGUUUUAAGCCAACCACUAGUUUUCAUUAUUGUACAUCAAAAAGGCAGGCAAAUCGCAGCAGCUGUAAGUUCAAAGGACACAAAGGUCUCACUGUGAGCAUCACAGCAAAUAGUUUUGGGUUCCCCUCACCCCAAAAGUAGCCCAUGGUGGGUUAAGUUUUUAUUUUUAAAUAGAUUUAGAGUUGAAUAACUAGCCCUUGUAAGGGACUUCAACAAAGAGGCUGUAUAUUGGCACAUAUUAAAUAUGCCCCUAUACACCCCAAAUUGUUUUGUCCAAAAUGUCUCGUUUAUUAUAAUUUCAUUGAUAAAGCCCUUGAUUGUAGCCCAGGGACUUUCACAUAUUGGCUGCCUCCUGUUGGACCCACAGGCCUCUAUUGGUGAUUCCAAAUCAGCCGUGCAUGGCCCUUGAUCCCCUCCUGUAGAGGGACUGGGUGAUGGUAUCUAUAAACCAACAGAAUAGCUCUUUUCCAGUAAAUCCCCCACAGAGUCCAGAAAAAUAUGCAAGCAGUCCUUUUACUUCAAGUUUCUACCCACACAGGGUCAACAGAGGGAGGAGAGGCAGAGGCAGCUGCCCUAGAAGCAGCCAUCGUCCCAGUCCCAUAGCCAGUGUGAAAUCUUAGCCCUCUUUUCCUUACACAUGGCCGUGGCCGCUCUUCUAGUCAGCACCGAAAUCUCCUCCCUGAAGAGCUUCUUUCUCUUCCUCCCUUCUUCCUUCCUCCAUUUCUUGGUCCACUGAAGUCCCUGGAGAUCCCCUGGGUCCUGUCCUCUUUGAGUUGUCAUUGUCUUUGCUUCUGUUGCUCAUGCCAGGGCUACAGGAAAUUUGCUGCGUCCCCCUAGGUACUGUUGUCAGAGUGGACUCUGGGUCAAAGAGUCAGACCUUUCAUUGGUGUGCUUCAAGUCUAAGCUUUGCAAGCUCUUUCUCUAUGUUACGUCUGCCUCCUUCCUCUUUAGUUUGUCUUUUAUUUGUCCUAGCCUUGAGGAGUGAAGGUUCCAGGAAAUUGAGGAUGGGAAUAUAGUGGAAAAUCCAUUCCCCACAGGAAAAUAUUCUGAAAUUUCUGGCUUGGGUGACAGGCUGUCAUUGAUAGAGCUAGAUAACGAUGAAGGUGAUGAUAAUGAUAGCCAAUCCUAUGUAGCACUCAUUAAGUACCAAGCACUAUUAAGUGCUUGAGGGAGAAUAAAUCAUACAAUCCUAUGUGGCUCGUAUUCUUGUCAUAUGCAUUUUGUUGAUAUAAAAAAAAAAUCAAGGCACAGAAUGAUUAAGACACAUACCUGAGGUCAUACAGCUAGUAAGUUGCAGAGCAAGAAUGGAACCCAAGGCCGGGCGCGGUGGCUCAUGCCUGUAAUCCCAGCACUUUGGGAGGCUGAGGCUCGUGGAGCACAAGGUCAGGAGUUCGAGACCAGCCUGGCCAACAUAGUGAAACCCCGUCUCUACUAAAAACACAAAAAGUAAAAUUAGCCGGGCAUGGUGGCACACGCCUGUAGUCCCAGAUACUCAGGAGCCUGAGGCAGGAGAAUCACUUGAACCUGGGAGGCGGACAUUGCAGUGAGCCGAGAUCGCGCCACUGCAGUCCAGCUUAGGCAUCAGAGCAAGACUUUGUCUCAAAAAAGAAAAAAAAUGGAACCCAAAAUGCUGGGCAUGGUGGCUCACACCUGUAAUCUCAGCACUUUGGGAGGCUGAGGCGGGUGGAUUGCUUUAGGGCAGGAGUUCAAGACCAGCCUGACCAACAUGGUGAAACCCCAUCUCUACUAAUAAUACAAAAAUUAGCUGGGCAUGGUGGCAGGCACCUGUAAUCUCAGCUACUUGGGAGGUUGAGGCAGGAGAAUUACUUGAACCCGGGAGAUGGAGGUUGCAGUGAGCCGAGAUCGCGCCAUUGCACUCCAGCCUGGGUGGCAGAGCAAGACUGUCUCAAAACAAAACAACAACAACAACAACAACAAAGAAUGGAACCCAGGCAACUCAUCCCCAAAGUCUCAGGAAGUCAUCAGGCCACAAGUGUGUGUGGACCAGUCAGGUGGAAAAGUAGAGCGGCAGGGGCAGGGACUCUGGCUUUGAGGCCAAGUGUGACCUGGAGAAGGAGCUUAGGGAGCCGUCUCACCCUUUGGGCUCCUGGCCCCACUGGGCUGCUCCUGCAGCUCUGCCUUGCUGGCUGAAUCAACAUCUUUUCUCCAUUUCAGUUUCAUUCCCUCUUGCCCACACAUCUUACUUAUUAAAGCCACCCGAUCCCACCCCAGGCAUCUCCAGGCUUAGUUUGUACUUCCUGCCCUCAAAGUUACUCCUGGUGCCAGGAUCUCCGCCUCACCAUUCUUCUCCUGCCUGCCCAUCCUCAAGGAUGGCAGGACAUGCAGCAUCCCUAGGAGGAAUUUGGCCGAGACUAGAAAAGCAGGGACGAUGCCGCCUCCUAGGGAAGGAGCAUUUUUCACAAGGCGGUUUUUUCCCUCCAUCCUGCUCUGCCCCAUCUCUGCUCCAGCUCCUAGAGCAGGAAAAUGCAACAGCCUCAUUUAGAGAAUAUAAUUUACAUAAAAUAGUUUCCAAAUUUAUUAAGGAAGCAGACAACAAAAGGAAACCCACAAUUAAAGAGGCUUUGCACGCAUUCGAUAUCUUUCCACUGGCUGAAGUAUAUCAUCUUCCUGAAUUAACGAGGUCUGGGCAAAAACUGUAGCACAAAAGUAUGCUUUGCUUUCAAGACUUCAGGGCCUUUAUCAUCCUGGGUGGGGCAGGCAGCAGGGGUGGAAUUGGCAGGGAAGAGUUAGAGGCCAAUCUGUCUUUUUAAGGAUGUGUUGCCGGACUGAAAUGGACAGGCUGGUACUGUAGGUACAGCUUUUUCUCUGUAAAGAGGGGAAGUGCUUUAUAUUUGGGGACACCCCAGUUUGUUCAUUCAGCAAAUCUUUUUAAAGAAAUUUUUUUAGAGACAGGGUCUCACACUCUGUCACCCAGGCUGGAGUGCAGUGGUAUGAUCAUAGCUCACUGUAACCUUGAACUCCUGGGCUCAAGUGAUCCCCUUACCUCUGCCUCCCAAAACACCAGGAAUACAGGCAGGGGAAGGAGCGUGUGUUUGUAUGUAACUAAGUAUCCAUCCAUUGAUUUUACUGUCAUGUCUUUAUCAUUUACCUAACCCUUUAUCCAGCCAUCCACUUAACACAUACUUUUUUGUUCUCAAAGUCAUUCGAAGCAAGUUGCCAGAGAUCUGGACCCAAGAGCAGCUGGGAAGGGAAGGGGUUGGGCAGGUUACCGGAGAUGCCCAGGAUGAGCUUCACUGAAGCCACAUGCCACUGUCCCCUUAGUAGCUUGUGAUACAGAGAGAGCCUGGCUUUGGAGUCAGGCAGCACUGGGUUUGAAUUCUGACUCAUUUUGUUACCACCAUCGACUAAUUCCUUUAUCUUAUUUCUUGUUUAUCUUAAGAAUGGAAUCACAACCACAAGGGUGUUGGUGGAUUAACUAGUAAUGUUAGUAAUGUGCUUAUGAUAUAAUAUCUCUCAUCGAGGUAGACAGCACAUAUUUUAUUCAUUGUCUAAGUAUCGAGCACCUGCUGUGUGUCAGGCAUCGCCCUACCUGCAGGAACUGUAAUAGAAACUACGAUAGCCCUGUCCUCAUUGAAAUUUUUUCAAGUACUUUAAAAUUUUUUUCCAGUACUUUUGCUAGUUAAAACCCUACACGAGGUACAAGAUCAAUGUACAAUCUGUAUAAACUUUGAAGAGCAAAGCAAAUAAAAGAUUAUCAAGAGCCAGAAUUUCAGGGACAGAUGCUCAUAUGAUUUCAUUAUAAAAAGAAACUAACAUGGAAAGGAGGCACGCAGAAAGUAACAAGAGGUUUUGAUGUCUGUUUUUUGUUUUUUAGAAAACCUAUGAGCUGUCUGUAGAAAAGAAAAAGUAAAUAUGACCUGAUGUUUCAGCUUCAGGCAUAAUAGCCCAGACAUUUUUGAAACCCACAAGGGUAGUUUUUACUUCUUCAGAAUGUCUUUUUUUUUUUUUUUUCUCCCCACAGUCUGGCUUCCUUUUCCCUUCAAUGGAAUAACAUAUACAAACUCUACCUAAGAGUGCUGUGUGAAGUACAUGCCAGCCUACAAGACAUGUCUCUAACCAAGUCGAAAGAGUGCAGUAUUCGUUCAUUCACUCAUUCAUUCAUUCAACAAAUGUUUAUUAAUAGGUAUUGUUUACCAAGCACUGUGUGUUAAGGAGAAGAUGGUAUGAAACAAGCAGACCCAGGCCUCAGGGAAGAGAGGCUGUUACAUUCAGAGACAAUUACCAUACACUACAAUGAAUGCUUUGAUGAAGGGAGGCAAAAAAACAAAAACAAAAACAACAACAACAAAAACCCCACAACGAUGUGGAUCCCUCCCUGUGGGGGUGAGGAGAAAGGAAAACAGCUUCAGGGAUCUCCAAGCCCUUGUGCCGGCCACUCUUCUUUCUUCUCUUCCUUCCUCCUCUGUCUUUCCUUUCAUCCUUCCUCCUCCCUUCUCUUUGGACAUCACUAAUAAAAGAGAAACAGAUGUCAGAGACGUAGACAUGGGGAGGGCUUUAAUAUCUAGCCUUACGGAACAAAAUCCUUGGGACCCAAUAGAACUUAGUGUUGCAGAGCUUUCUCCUGAGUUCAGCUAAAACCAGGCUCUUGUCACACGACCAGGGAAGAUUAGGCUCCCGGACACAUAGAAGGGUGAGGAAAACAGAAUUUAUUGGGCGAAAAGGAAAAAGAAAGAAAAACUCUCAGCGAAGUGAUAGGGGGUCUUGCCAACAACCUCUCUCCUCACAAAUUGAAUCCUAGGUUACCACAGAGGCCAGGUUCCUCUCCCCUGCAAACUUCGUGAACUUCCCCUGGCUCUACCCCUUUCCCCCAGUAAGAAGGUGGGCCUCAUUUAGAGAAAAUCGUUUGGGAAAGGGCAGGCUUCAUCAGGGACCAGCAAUCCAGUUUCUCAGCCUUCAGGCUGUUUUAGCCUUGGAGGUGGGGUUUCACCUGGGACACUUGGCUGCCCCCUGUCUCUAACAUUAGAUGUCUCUAACAUCUAUUCCCCUCCCUAUCUUUGCUGGACACCUGACUCUCUCCUAGAGCAACCCAGCAAACAUCUGUCUGUUGUGUACUUAAAUACCCCCACAGAUUGGGAACUGUCUCCUUUAUGGGAAAGCUCUUUAUAUUUGGGACACCCCAGUUUGUUCAUUCAGCACAUUUUCUUUUCAACUUUUUUAGAGACAAGGUCUCACUCUGUCACCCAGACUGGAAUGCAGUAGCGUGAUCAUAGCUCACUGUAACCUCGAACUCCUGGGCUCAAGUGAUCCUCCUGCCUCGGCCUCCCAGGAGCUAAGGGCUACAGGCGUGUGCCGCCACUCCCAGCUAGUUUUUUAAUUUUUAAAAAUUUUUUGCAGAGGUGGCGUCUUGCUAUGUUGACCAAGUUUGUCUCAAAUUCCUGGCUUCAAGCCAUCCUCCCACCUCUGCCUCCCAAAACACUGGGAUUUCAGCCGUGAGCCACCAACGCACCUGGCCUCAUUCUCCAACUCUUUACAAAGCUUCAAAGACAUCCCAGACGCUGGGAAUACAGAGACCAAUCAGAUACAAACCCUGCCCUCCAGCUGUUCGCAGCAUUCUCGCUCCUUUGCGGCCACCUCUUCUGCCCUGCUUUUCCACCUUGUCCCUUCUUCUGUCAAGUGGCUUUUGGCUUGGUCACCACUUUGCUGGUGUUUCUCUCCAGAAGUGAGUCCCAGACUUCAGGUGUGGUCUGACUCACGUCCUAUCGGGUCUCUCCCUCUGAAAACCGUGCUUGUAUUAAAGCAGCUUGGGAGCUCAUUAAUGUUCUUGGCAGCCAGGUCCUACCCCUGACAGUGCAGGAGCUGCCUGUCCACUUAGGGGACCCCUGUCUUUUUCACACGUGAGUCUGUUAAGCCUCACCUCCCUCAUCGCCUCCAUGUGUGCGGCAGUUUUCAACAAAUGUUCAGAGUACAACACCUGCCCUUGUUAAACGUAAUCUUGUUACACUAGUCCCCUUGUUUUAACUUCUCAAACAUUUUGAGUCUUGCUCCUGUUAACCAAGAAGACCUAGAAAGCUCCACAUCUCCUCUUAAAAUGUGUGUGUGUGUGUGUGUGCGUGUAUUCGUACGCACACCCCUGGGUACAGCUCUGAGGAGGCCACCUAUAGGUUUCUGAACAAUCUUCCAUGAAUACAGCUCAUUCAUACACACAUUUAUUUAUUCUGCAACAUUUAUUCAACAUUCCCUAACAAAACUUUCAUUCUUGAGCACUUUUUGCCCAAGCAUUACAGGGAUAAUAGAAGCAAACGAAUCCAUACUAAGGAGUGAAUUAUUGAUAGUGCUCACCUGCAUUUUUUUAAGCAGAAAGUAGUAUUUAUUUUGGCCUAAUUUCCACCUGUCAGAAAAUCAAAACAGUGAUGAAUUGCAUAUUGCUAUACUACAUUUUAUUAUCAGCAUCAAAAUUCAAGUGUGCUCUGCUUAAAAUUCAGAAGACAAACUUUCUCAUUUAGAAAAGUUCAUUCUGUUAGUGACUGAUCAGAAUGGAAUAAAAAUUUCAUGAUGCAUACAUACUGAUUGAAUUUUUUUUUCUUUUUUUAAAAAAAAUGUAUUUUAUUCUGGAUUCAAGGUGUGCAUGUGCAUAUCUGCUACACAGGUAUAAUUAUGUACUGGUGGGAUUGGGCAUCUAGUGUGUCCAUUACCCAAAUAGUGAACAUUGUACCCAAUAGGUAUUCUUCAACUCUAUCCCCCACUCUAAUGAUCCCCCCUUUGGGAGUCCCCACUGUCUAUAGUUUCCAUCUUUAUGUCCAUCUUUAUGUGCCCAUUGUUUAGCUCCCACUUACAAGUGAGAACAUAUGGUAUUCAGUUUUCUGUUUCUGUGUUAGUUUGUUUAGGAUAAUGACCUCCAGCUCCAUCCAUGUAGUUACAAAGGACAUGGUUUUGUUCUUCUUUUUUUUUUAAUGACUGCUUCACCUUCUUCUUAACUAUCCCAAGGUGUUUGGUUCUUAAACUGAUUGGUGAAAUCUAGCAGUCAUAGCAGAAGCAAGUGGAGACAAGGCUUGUUUAAAUAGUAUCAUUAAGCUGACUCUGACAGAGGCCUUUCCAUACACACCCAACCCUCUCCCCUAUCAGAGCUUCUAGAGAGGGAGGCUGGCUAACCCUGGGAUCCAGAAAUAUUUGGAGAAUCCUCGGGCCGGGCGUGGUGGCUCACGCCUGUAAUCCCAACACUUUGGGAGGUUGAGGCGGGUGGAUCAUGAGGUCAGGAGAUUGAGACCAUCCUGGCUGACACGGUGUACUAAAAAUACAAAAAAUUAGCCGGGCGUGGUGGUGGGUGCCUGUAGUCCCAGCUACUCGGGAGGCUGAGGCAGGAGAAUGGCAUGAACCCCGGAGGCGAAGCUUGCAGUGAGCCGAGAUCGUGCCACUGUACUCCAGCCUGGGAGACAGAGCGAGACUCUGUCUCACAAAAAUAAUAAUAAUAAUAAUAAUAAUAAUAAUUUGGAGAAUCCUCAACAUUCUUUCUGCUCAUCCCAGUAACCCACUUGACAGCAUGGAGCUCAGAAAUGUGGGGACCCCAGAAGCUCAAGAUCUUCAGCCCCAACUCACAACUUUCUCCCUUGCCAUUGGAAGGGAUUGAGGACCUUGGCUCAAAUCUCUGUUUCUCAAAGUGAUUUCUGGCUCAGCCUAUAUCCAGGUGGAGUAAAGCUUUUACUUAUUGUUUUGGAGUAGGUACAGCCGGACUAGGGUUUGCACCCCAGGAGUUAGGUAGAAUUGGAGUAGCAGAGCCUUUAGCAGAUCUGAUCUCUGGGAAAAGUUCUAAUGUGGCAAUAAUACCACUUUUCCAUAGGAUUAUUACUUAGGUUAAAUGGCAUAAUGGCUAUAACAUGCUUAACACAGUGCCAGGCUUGUGGUGUUUGUAAAUGUUAGCUAUUAUUUUAGUUAGGAAAGCAAGCUAAUGCAGAACAUGAUACCUAAUACAAAAUCCUCCUUAUGCUUAAACAGAGAAGGAGUUAUUUUUCGCAUACAGUAAGAUGUCUAGAAGUAGGUAGUUGCAGGUUUCAGUUCAGGAGCUCAAAAAUGAUGGGGCCAAUGUCUCUGAAAUUCUGGACAUUUCUUCCUAGAUGCAAGAGGGCUGUUAGAACUCAGGCAAUUGCAUCCUUGUUUAAGCCUGGAGAGAGGGGGAAGACUGCCUUAACCACAUCUGACAUCUUUCAUCAGGAAAGAAAAGCCUUUCCCAGAAAUCCAUGAGAAAAUUUUUGUUUAGGUCUCAAGGGCCAGAACUGGGUCACUAGCUACUCCCUAGCUGCAGAGAGGCUGGGAAAGUUAGGAACAGGAUAAUCAUGAUUGGCACACCAGUAAUGAGCCAUUGCCAGGAAGGAGUAAGCAGUUUAGAUCGUAACGGUGAUUACCGCAGUGAUUGUUACCAGCUCUAGCCUGCCUUCCAUCCAUCUACUUCUCAUUUGUAGCAAAUUAUCAAGUGGUCUCAUGCCAGUUAUAAAUAUUAUUCAUUGUACUCACAGCUCCCUGCACUAAGCCAGCUUUUCUCUUAACCUUUCCCUGUCCAUCUGGAUAACAUUUCUUAUUGUUACUCCUUCCCCAGGAGGAUUUCUGUACUAGUCGCUAUUGCUGAUUAUGCUGUGUAACAAAUAACCCCCAAACAUUAAUGAACAUUUUUUCCUACUCGCAGGUCUGCAGGUCAGCUGAGGGGACUCUGGCCCAGGAUGUGGGUUCAGGUCUGCUUUUGUGUCUCUCAUUCCAGAACCCUAACUUAGGGCACACCAUGUACCUAGGGGAUGCUCUCCUCAUGGUGGAUUAGGAGAGCAAAAAAGGACAAAACCACAUGAGCACAUUGAAAGCUUCUGUUUGCGUCGUGACCACUCAUGUUCCAUUGGCCAUAGCAAGUCCCACAGCUGGGUCUGACGAGGAAGAUUAUUCUUCCCAGGAGAGGGAAGGAGAAAGCAAGUAUUUGCUGAACAGGAAUCAAAUCCAUUGCACCUUCUCAAGCCAAAACUAGGUUAGGAGUCCUCUUUGGGCACCCAUGGUCCUUAAUGCAUCCUUCUGUUACAGCUUUGGAUUCUCCAUUGCCCUUACCUAUUCCGUUGUCUGUCUUCCCCAGUGGAUUGCAAAAAGAUUGCUAUGGCUGAGAUGUGUAAGUCUUUUAUGAGAUCUAGGUGACAGCUGAUAAGUGUAGUUAUGGUCAUGAUGGUCAAUUCUUUAACAGUUUAUUAACAAAAUAACAAAAGUUACAAAAUGAAAAUAUAAAGGAUAAGUUAUUCGAGGACUAUGGUUGGACUCUAGUUCUGAACAUUAUUUAAACUCGAUGUUAACAUGCUGUAGAUAAUAACAUAUCCACAGAACAGAAGCUAGGUCUUCCAUUGGCCAUAACAUAUGCCUCUAAAUGCCCUCCCCCCUACCAAAGUAGCAUCCAGAGGUAUGUGCUAUUACUUGAGAGAUCAUUCUGCAAUUUAAAAUUUAAACUCGACAAAUUAUUAAUACCAUAAACAUUUCAGUGUCAAACACUGAAGAUGCAAUGAUAACACCUGGCUAUCCUGCUCAGGUAGCUCACAAUCUGAAGGGUAGAUGGUGGUGGGAGCAGAGCAGUUAACAGAUAAAAUGAAAAGUAGUAAGUGGAGCUCUUAUUUGUUGCUGGUGGGAAUGCAAAAUGGUACAGCCACUUCAGAAGACAGUUUGGAAGUUUCUGGCAAAACUAAGUAUACUCUUACCAUAAGAUCCAGCAAGCAUGCUCCUUGGUAUUUAUCCAAAGGAGCCGAAAACUUACAUCCACACAAAAACUUCCACUCAGACAUUUCCAGUAGCUUUGUUCAUAACUGCCAAAACAUGAAAGCAACCAGGAUGUCUUUCAAUAGGUGAAUGGAUAAACAAACUGUGGUACAUACAUGCAGUGGAAUAUUAUUCAGCACUAAAAGCAAAUGAGCUAUAGAAAAGAUGUGGGGGUAGAUGCUAAUUUGACUCCUUAACUUAACUAUCUGACCUUGAACUAGUUACUUAGUCUCUAGACCUCAAUUUCCUCAUCUGCAGAAUGUGAAUAAUGAGUGUUCUUGUGCAAAUUAAAUGAGAUAUGUAUUUAUACUAGAUAUUGUCAUUUUUUCCUUCAGAUCCACUGUCCACCUGCUACUCCUUGGUCUCCCUCCCAAGGAGGCUGACCUGCAUGGACCACUAGAGGCUCCCUUGUCCUUUGCUUUUUUUUUUGGUUUAGCCAAUAGGGUGCCCAGACAGAAGAUGAGAGGGAGGGCUGAGAGUGAGGCUGGGGAUUUAUUCUGAAUGCUUGCCCUGCAGCAUUGCCUUAGGCUGUCACUAUUCCUCCCCAGAAGCUUUCUAGGAGACUCUCCUUCUGUGUUCUGGAAAACUACUCCCUACCCUCUUCCCUUCAGGCUUAAGGACAGGUAACAGCCCUGCCAUUACUAGCUCCAGGGCAGAGCAUCAUCUCUACAACCUGCCACAUCUUUGCAAAUAAUCCCUUUAUUAAACUUUCCUAAGAAAAUCCCAAUUUAAAAAAAAAAAAAAAAAAAAAAAAAAAGAAAAGAUGUGGGGGAACCUUAAAUGCAUAUUGCUAGUAAAAGAAGCCAAUCGGAAAGGCUACAUACUGCAAGAUUUCAACUAUAGGACAUUCUGGAAAAGGCACAACUAUGGAGACAGUAAAAAGAUCAGUGGUUGCCAGGGGCUCAGGGGAGGGAGAGAGGGAUAAAUAGGUCGAACACAAUAUUUUUAGGGCAAUGAAACUAUUCUGUAUGAUACUGUAAUGGUUGAUACCUGUCAUUAUAUCUUCAUCAAACCUAUAGAAUGUACAAUACAAACAGUGAACCCUAACGUAAUCUAUAGAUUUUGGUUGAUAAUAAUGUAUCCAUAUUUAGUCAUCAAUUGUAACAAAUGUACCACACUAAUGCAAGAUGUUAAUAUAGGGGAAAGUCCGAGAAGAGGUGUUGAGGAAGUUAUAUGGUAACUAUACUUUCUACUCAAUUUUUCUGUAAACCUGCAACUGCCCCCCAGAAUAGUCUAUUAAUGUAGAGAACAAGGUAAUAAAGUGCAAUAAAAGGGAUAUGUACAAAGUGUUAUGACAACACAGAGAAAGCACACAGGGAAACCCUUCCAGGGGAGAUGGGUUUGAACUGAGUCUUGAAGGACAAUAGAAAUUCACCAGGUAGAGCAAGGAGAAAGGUGAACCUGGCGGAAAGCACCACCUGUACCAAGGUGUCAAUGACAGGAUCAUCACCUGUUGUGUCCACUGACCAAGUAUCUAGAGUGCUGCCUGCCCUAGAGAGGGCGCUCAAUAAAUAUUUGUUGAGUGAACGGAUGGUAACUUGACAGGACAUAACACGGUGGAGCUUUAUUUCCUAGCUAGGCAUAAAGACUAUCGAAAAGUGCAAUAGGUACUUUUUUUUUUUUUUAAGACGGAGUUUUGCUCUUGUUGCCCAGGCUGGAGUGCAAUGGUGUGAUCUCAGCUCACCGCAACCUCUGCCUCCUGGGUUCAAGCAAUUCUCCUUCCCCAGCCUCCUGAGUAGCUGGGAUUACAGGCAUGUACCACCACACCUAUCUAAUUUUGUAUUUUUAGUAGAGACAGUGUCUCUCCAUGUUGGUCAGGCUGGUCUCAAACUCCCGACCUCAGGUGAUCCACCCCACUCAGCCUCCCAAAGUGCUGGGAUUAUCGGUGUGAGCCACCGCGCCAGGCCAAUAGGGCCAUAUUUUAUAACCUCCCCUUCCUAUCCAUCCUUAAUGGUGAAAAGGGUAUCAAAUGUUUCCAAUUGCUCUUUGGCUGGGGAAAAAACAUCUUCUUGAUGUUGAUAUUCAUGCUCUAAAGGUAAUUAGAUGCCAGAGAAGAGACCGGAUUGUAGGCGAUGGCAGCUUGCUUACAGUAUACAUUUAUAAACAAGCAAAAUCAAAACUGUAAAGUCGCAUUUCAAGAUGGUUUUGUGUUUCUCCACAUUGAGCCAACAGCCUGUGGACGAUAUCAUAUACUCCACUGGAAUUGGCCGCCUGGGCCAAAUGAGAAAGCUAUCUCCAUAGAGGCUUUGAAGCAGAAGGUUUGGGCACUGAGCAGGGAGGGAGAAGCGCCACCCCUGCGGGGCUUAGCUCAGUCCACAGGGUCUGGGGGCAAAUCUCAUGCAAAACACGAGUGGGACUGGUACCAACGUCAAAGAAGAGACACUUUGGAAUCCAGCCUCUGUCACCAGGAGCUUCCCCUCCAGGCCUCUGGCAGAGAGGUGUGGUCCUUCCUCCCUGAUCUUUCAUCUCUUGGAAUCUCUAGUUGCUAGGCGCGGGUGAACAGUGUCAAAACCCAGCCCAUGAUAGAUUUAUCAUCCCCCUUACUGAGAACUGCCUAUGGCCACAUACUGUGCUUAGCAUGUACACAUUUUGGUUUAUAUAAACCUUCCAACAAGGUGCCAGGUGGGUAACGUGAUUGAGAUUAGGAAACUCAGGCUGAGGAAAGUUAAGUCACUUACUCAGUGUCACCUGGGAAUAAGUGGCAGGGCUGGGGUUAGAACUCCCAUCUGUCUGGCUUCAAGCUUAUGUGCUUUCCAUUAUGUGCAGCCACCCUGCCAACUACUCAGCAGGGGCCUUCUGAUGGACACUGUGAGAGGACAAGACACAAAAGAAAUGUAUACAAUGGAGAAGACAAUGAUACAAAUGAUACAAAGGAGAAGACAAUGGGCUUCUCCUUUGCCCCUGAGACUUCCUUUGAAAAAUAAUUUGCAAAAUCCCGCUCCCUGUGCCUUGCUCUAGAGUUUGAAGGCUUGGGCCUGUGAACAGUGAGCUCUCAGGAGGCACAGAUCGCUCCCUUAGGCACCAUGCUUGAGACUUGACCACAUUUCAGGCUGGCUCCGCCUGCUCUAGGCUGUGUCUCUAAAGGUGGCCCCACCCCUGCCUUGCACUAAGUCUUUACUCAAGAAAAUGCAAUGCUACCAAACCACAAAAUGUGCAUUGUCCCAACCCAGCUUGCACCAAAUUGUUUUCAGGAAUUCUCUAGUGACCCCUUCUGUAAUUUCCAUUUCCACAUAAACCCCAGGCCCUUUUUGUUCCCCCUUCUUCACUUCCCCAGCAUCCCUUUUUGUUCUCUCUCUGUUCUCCCUUCAGAAGCCUCAGUCCCCUUUAAUUGGGGCUGAGUUCUGUCUGACCUGGAAUCUCCCCCAAAGCAGGAGUCUGAAUAAAACCUGUCUUGCCACCUUUCACAAGUGUUUUGCGCUGUGUGUGUGUGUGUGUGUGUGUGUUUUUUUUUUUUUUCAUUGAUAGUUCAAAUCCUAUUUCCUCUGGGUAUUGUCUGUGUGUCCUUGGGUGAAUCACUUCACUUCUCUGAGUCUCAACUUCCUCAUCUUCAAAAUGAGAACGUAGGUAGGCCCACCUUGCUGCAAGGUGAUGAGGGAAGGCCCUCGCCAGGGGCCUGUCACUCCUUACUCAGGAAUAAUCACUGACCCAUCCCCACAGUGCUGGAACUCUUCUAGGCAUUGGGAGUAGAGAGAAGCAACACAGAGUUCCUGCCCACAGAGAGUGGACUUUCUAGUGAAGAAACAAACAACACACAGGGAAACCUAUCUGUAUUUGUCUGUUUUCAUGCUGCUGAUAAAGACAUACCUGAGACUGGGCAGUUUACAAAAGGAAGAAAGGUUUAAUGGACUUACAGGUUCACAUGGCUGGAGAGGCUUCACAAUCAUGGUGGAAGGCAAGGAGGAGCAAGUCACGUCUUACAUGGAUGGCAGCAGGCAAAGAGAGAGCUUGUGCAGGGAAACUCCCAUUUUUAAAACCAUCAGAUCUCACGAGACGUAUUCACUAUCGCAAGACCAGCACAGGAAAGACCUGCCCCCAUGAUUCAAUUACCUCCUACUGUGUCCCUCCCACAACAUGUAGGAAUUCAAGAUGAGAUUUGGAUGGGGACACAGCCAAACCAUAUUACCAUCUUAAAAUAUCAAGCAGUGAAAGCAUGAUGAAGAAAGUUAACACAGGUGGAGGGAUGCAGGUGACCAGGAGGAGGAGGAGCUAUUUUCCAAGACCUCUCUGAUGGGGGACAUUUGCACAGGGAGCACCAUGUAGAAAUCUUGAGGGUUCACACUCCAAGCAAAGAGAAGAGCAAGUGCAAAGGCCCAGAGGCAGGAGAGCACUGGACCUGUUCCAGAAACCUCCAGCAGGCCAAUGUAGCUGAAACACAGCCAGGCACAGGGGCUGAGACAGGAGGUGGGCCAGGCCAUCUAGGGCUCAGGGACCAUGGUCAGGACUCUAUAUUCAUCCCAAAGGUGAUAGGGAAGCACUAAGGUUACAGUGUAACCAUAUCCAUGUCUCAAUCACCUGCCUAACUCUACUAGAAGGAGGGAACGUGUCAGUGCUGGUUGAAUUGUGACUUUCUCAUGGGGUAGGGGGUGGGUUAUAGGAACAUGAGAUAUAAAACGUACCAGAAAAGGUAUCCAACCUCUAGGCGUCCCCCUCCUUGGACACCUUCAGGUUCCAUGGCGAUAUGAUUUGGCUCUGUGUCCCCACCCAAAUCUCAUCUCAAAUCGUAAUCUGAGCAGUGGAGUAAUAUGAUCUAAGCUUUAUACAUCCUAUAUAUUUAACACCAUCUCAAAUUUACAAAAAAAGUUACAAGUAUGGGACAAAUAAUUUUUGUCCCUGAGUCAUCUGAAAGUAAGCUGCCAGCAUGAUGCCUGUCACCCCUGGACACUUUACUAUGCAUUUCCAACAAACAGAGAGAAUGACCAUCAAAAUCACGACGUUCACAACAUGCAUUUUUACCAUUUGAACCUCAGACCACAUUCAGGUUUCAUCCUUUGUCCCAAUAAUGUUCUUUAUAACAAAAGGAGCCAGGGUGGAAUCACACAUUGCCUUUAGAUAUCAAGCUCCUUUAGUCUCCUUCAGUCUGAAAUGUUUUCUCAGUCUUUCUGUGAUUUUCGUGACCUUGACUCUUUUGAAGAUGACUGGCCAAUCAUUUGAUAGAAUAUCCUUCAAUCUGCAUUUGUCUGACCUUUCACCCUGAUUAGAAUUAGGAUAUGCAUCUUUGGCAGAAAUAUCACAUGAAUGGCAAUGUGUUCUCUAGGUUGCAUCCUAUCAGAUGCACAAGAACUCAAUUUGUCCCAUGACUGAUGAUGUUCACCUGCAUCACCUGGUUAAAGUGGCAUCUGCCCACCUUCUCCAUUGUGAAGUUACUAUUUUUACUGUUCUUCCCUCUGCAGUUGAUAAUUAUUUUUAUAUAAAUAUCCUGUUCCUCAUGAAACCUUCAAUGUAUUCAGUUAUUAAUAACACUGUGGACUCCUGUUUUCCUGUUUUAUUCUGUGGGCCAUAAUUCUUAACUCUCAUUACUUAUUUGUAUUUAGAUUACUCCAGAAAUGUCCAGCAGUGGCUUCUGUGUUCUGGCAUGUUUCCAUCAUUGUUUGGGUGCUUAAUUUCUGGGUAACAAGAUGUUCUAGGCUCCUUUCUGCCUCAGUCCCAGAAUCAACCAUUUCUUCUAGGGUGCAUCUUCCUUUUAGUUGAGAUGAAAUUUGGAAUCCAAAACCUGGGUACAAUGUAGGCUCACUGCUUUUGGAAUGUCAGUGCCCUCAGGUUCUCUCAAUAGACAAAACUAAGGAAUAUAUGUGUUUAUAUACACAUCUAGUUGCAAGUAUACAUACAUGCACACAUCUUUCAUCUAUAUUUCUAUGUCGAUUUAGGUAUUGAAUGUUAUGAGUUCCUAUCAAUACCUCCAAUCGCAAUCCCCUCUACAAGGGUCUUUCCAGAUUCUCUCUUUCCAUAUUUGUAACUUGAUGCUCCAACAGCAAGAAAUCUUUCUCCUUUGCUUUUAAUAUAUUUGCCUACCUGAUGAGUCCCCAUGGGUAUAAAUAAUCCUCCAUCUCCAUUGCCAUUCUCUCCCUUAGAAGGAUGUUAUUCUUGGUCCACUGGGGUCCUGACAGCUGGUGCUAGGCCUUCUCCAUGCAUGGAUGCCCUGCUCAUCCUGCCUGGCCUCUGACAUCUUUAUGGGGUCACUUUUCUCUCCUUGUAUCUAACACCCUACACUGAGCUGCCCCUUUUGGUGCUUUCUUCAUUUAGCCAGAGCUCAAACACUCAUGCCUGGCAGCCCUCCUCCUUGGAUGCCUUCUUCAGGUUCCAUGGUGAUAUGGUUUGGUUCUGUGUCAUCACCCAAAUCUCAUAUCAAAUUGUAAUCCCCAUGUGUUGGAGGAGGGGCCUGGUGGGAGAUGAUUGGAUCAUGGGGGUGGAUUUCUCCCUUGCUGUUCUCAUGAUAGUGAGUGAGUUCUCACAAGAUCUGAUGGUUUUAAAGUGUGACACUCCCCUCUUUCCACCCCUCCUGCUAUCAUGCCUUCCACCAUGAUUGUAAGUUUCCUGAGGCCUCCCCAGUCAUGGGAACUCUGAGUUAAUUAAACCUCUUUUCUUUAUAAAUUACCCAGUCUCAGGUAGUUCUUCAUAGCGUGUGAAAACGAACUAAUACACAUAGCCUGAUAUUCUGCUCCAGGCCACCCUUUGAUAGAGGCUCUCCUUACUCCACCUGUCCCACCUGACCAGCUGAAAGGAGGCACAUGUAUCACACCUGUUCAGUGGCAGCUUAGGCCCUCUCUCCUUGGAAGGGUAUAUCAAUUUUCACAGUUUGUGGCUCUGCCAUUUUCAAAGGCUACAGUGAAAUCUGAGCAGGAAAUGAAAAUCAUCCAUUUCUGCAGUACUCCCUGAAAUCAUUACAUCAUCACUAACUUUCCCCGAGUUCCCAUGUGAUGUUGGAGCUGGAAGGCCCCCAUUUACCAGAACCAGAUAGCUUAUUUCAUGCCUGUUUGCUUUUGCACAGGCUGUCUCUCUGCUUGGAAUGCUUUUCCCAUGUGCGAUAAACCCCUCCAUUCCAAAUAUUUUAACUCUGUGAAACUUUCUUUGAUCCCUAAAUUUGACCCCAAGUUAAUCAUUUUUCUCCCUCUGCUACAAUUUUCACAUUUAGCUUUUAAAAGAUAUUUAAUAUAUUGUGCACCUCUUAUACUAGGCUGUGAACUCCAACUCCCUGAGACAAGUUGUUCAUUCAUUCGUCAAAUAUUUAUUGAGCUCCUACCAUUGUAAAAGGCUCUGUGCUAAGUACUAAGGAUGAAAAUGGAGAACAAGAUGCAGCACUUUCCCUCAAAGAGCUUGCAGUCUAGUGGGGAGUUUCAUUAGGUAACCAAGCCAUCCUAAUCCAUAUUGCUGGCUUAGAGUCUGACACAUGGAAGAUGGUGAAUGAAUGCUUAUUGGAAUUUCUAAGACUGGUGGCAAGAGCAUGGAACACAGUACUCAUUCCCUGCUAAAGACUGUUCUCGCUGUCUCUGUCCUCAAGGAGCUGGUUGUUUACUGGGAGAGACAGACACCAACUGUAUAUAAAAAGAGCACUAGAGUGUUUUCCAGGCCAUGAUGUGGCACACUCACUGUGAGCUGCUGCAGCAGACACCGUUGGGUCUGCCCAGGGCCCUCAGAUAUCCUGCAUGCCCUUUUCUGGCUCUGCAUGCCCAUCCUCCAUGCUUCUGUGAGCUCCACUCUUAAGACUCACCCUGCAGCCUUCUUGGAGGGACUAACCUGGGCUACUGCAGCCACUUCUGCAAUGGCAGUGAGCGUCAGCAUUUCAAAAACAGACAGGCAGGAGGGUAGGACAGCCCGUGUUCCUUGCCUCCAAGCAGAUGUAACCUACUCUGGGGAGCUCGGGAUCAGGCUGGGACUGGGACUUCUGAUGUGAUGUCCUUGUGUGGCCUCUUCUCCUUUCCUCUCCUGCUUCCUCCACUCCCCUCUUGCUUUCUUGUGAGAGCACUUCCUUCAUAAAUACUUUGCCCAGUCAUUCUCCACGGGUUAGCAUGUGGGAAACCUGGUCCAGACACUGCGUUCGCAAUACCUGGCCCUGCUAAUGUGUAGCUCACAGGGCAGGUGUGUGCUCCAGCCGGGAAUCCAGCCAGCUAAGUAUCUGAUAUAGUUUGGCUGUGUCCCCACCCAAAUCUCAUCCUGAAUUGUAGUUCCCAUAAUCCCCAGUGUCGUGGGAGGGACCCAGUGAGAGGUAAUUUAGUCAUGGGGGCUGUUACCCUCAUGCUGUUCUUGUGAUAGUGAAUGAGUUCUCAUUUGACAGUUUUAUAAGGGGCUUUUCCCCUCUCUGCUCAGCACUCCUCCUUCCUGCCCCCAUGUAAAGAAGAACGCGUUUGCUUUCCCUUCCGCCAUGAUUGUAAGUUUCCUGAGGCCUCCCCGGCCAUGCUAAACUGUGAGUCAAUUAAACCUCUUUCCUUUAUAAAUUACCCAGUCUCAGGUAUGUUUUUAUUAGCAGCGUGGGAAUGGUCUAAUACAGUAUCCAACCAAUCAAGUGCAGCUUCAGAGACCUUGGGCUUUAAGAAAAGGGCUGAAGGCCAGAGAAGAUUUCUCAGUGAAGGUGAGUUGAGCAGGGCCUUAGGGGAGGGUAGGUCAUUAGGUAGAAAGUUGGGCAUUGCAAGGCGAGAAAACAGUGUAUGAGCUGCUGUGAAAGACAUGGGAAGGGGAGAAGCUCAGGCUGUUUCUCCUCCACCAGAGAAUGCCCUCCUCCUUCCUCCCCCUUCCUCCCAACACACACACACACACAACACACACACACACACACACACACACCAGUUUUCUCCCGGAAACUGAGCUAAUCCAGCCACGCCCCGACAGACAUUUGCAGUGAUUUUACACACACACACACACACACACACACACACCAGUUUUCUCCCUGAAAUUGAACUAAUUCAGCCAGGGCCCCCCUACAAACGUUUGUAGUGAUUUUACUCCCAGCGUGGACUCUCCUGCCCGGUCAGCUUCAAGGAUUCCUUUGGUCCCAGAAAUAGCCAAGGUGGCGGUGAAGGGAGGAGCUGUUUCAUUUCCGAAAUGAAAAAGUUUAAGAUAAUUACACAGACGGCUUGAGCCUGCAAUGGACAAAAAGUUUCAUUAUUGGACCCCUUUGGGGAAGGCGCCUCCCAUCCCCAAAGGAGCGGGUUAACCGCUCGGCUGGCGCGGCCCCGCCCGGGUCGCCGUCUGAGAGGGACGGUCGCGCCCCCUUUGAAGUGCGGCCGCGCCUAAUGAGGGACUCGCUGGGCCUCGGGAUCAAGUGUCAGCGCCG